CAGCUGCGUUAAGUGGUGUGAAUUGCAGGACACGCCGAGCACUAAAUUUUCGAACGCAUAUUGCAGCUAUGGGCUUUCCCGUAGCAACGUCUGUCUGAGGGUCGGUUGAAUUAUCGACACUCAUAGUAUGGAGUUGGUUCGAGUCGGUCAUUACGUUACCGAACUCGUCCAACGUAUGUAACGUGAUGCACGGCUGAACAUAAGCUCUGUGUAUCGAGACAGCGCGACGUGCUGUUCUCACUAAGGUACGCAAUGGGUUGAUUAGUAUGCCGAGUGCAAAAGCGUUAGACUAAUACAAUGUUUACCAUUGUCGACCUCAGAUCAGGCGAGAUUACCCGCUGAAUUUAA
RNAcentral lists this unclassified non-coding RNA (348 nucleotides) under uncultured fungus. Its description in RNAcentral is "sequence contains ITS1". The stretch from base 1 to 104 matches the Rfam family "5.8S ribosomal RNA", at positions 50 to 154 of the family's 154-position model. Lineage: Eukaryota; Fungi. The record is from RNAcentral.